RNAcentral lists this ribosomal RNA (1376 nucleotides) under Leptolyngbya sp. YACCYB329. RNAcentral's name for it is "bacterial SSU rRNA". It matches the Rfam family "Bacterial small subunit ribosomal RNA". The record is from RNAcentral. Lineage: Bacteria; Bacillati; Cyanobacteriota; Cyanophyceae; Leptolyngbyales; Leptolyngbyaceae.
UAGUGGCGGACGGGUGAGUAACGCGUGAGAACAUGCCUUUAGAUUGGGGACAACAGUUGGAAACGACUGCUAAUACCGAAUGUGCCUUAGGGUGAAAGAUUUAUUGUCUAGAGAUUGGCUCGCGUCAGAUUAGCUAGUUGGAGUGGUAACGGCACACCAAGGCGACGAUCUGUACUUGGUCUGAGAGGAUGACCAGGCACACUGGAACUGAGACACGGUCCAGACUCCUACGGGAGGCAGCAGUGGGGAAUUUUCCGCAAUGGGCGAAAGCCUGACGGAGCAAUACCGCGUGAGGGAGGACGGCUUUUGGGUUGUAAACCUCUUUUAUCAGGGAAGAAUCGAUGACGGUACCUGAUGAAUCAGCAUCGGCUAACUCCGUGCCAGCAGCCGCGGUAAUACGGAGGAUGCAAGCGUUAUCCGGAAUUAUUGGGCGUAAAGCGUCCGUAGGUGGUUUAUCAAGUCUGCUGUCAAAGCGUGCGGCUUAACCGCAUAAGGGCAGUGGAAACUGAUGAACUAGAGUGCGAUAGGGGUAACAGGAAUUCCCAGUGUAGCGGUGAAAUGCGUAGAUAUUGGGAAGAACACCAGCGGCGAAAGCGUGUUACUGGGUCUGCACUGACACUGAGGGACGAAAGCUAGGGGAGCGAAAGGGAUUAGAUACCCCUGUAGUCCUAGCCGUAAACGAUGACAACUAGGCGUGGUUCGUAUCGACCCGAGCCGUGCCGUAGCCAACGCGUUAAGUUGUCCGCCUGGGGAGUACGCACGCAAGUGUGAAACUCAAAGGAAUUGACGGGGGCCCGCACAAGCGGUGGAGUAUGUGGUUUAAUUCGAUGCAACGCGAAGAACCUUACCAAGGCUUGACAUCCUCGGAACCCUGAUGAAAGUUAGGGGUGCCUUCGGGAGCCGAGAGACAGGUGGUGCAUGGCUGUCGUCAGCUCGUGUCGUGAGAUGUUGGGUUAAGUCCCGCAACGAGCGCAACCCACGUUUUUAGUUGCCAGCAUUCAGUUGGGCACUCUAGAGAGACUGCCGGUGACAAACCGGAGGAAGGUGUGGAUGACGUCAAGUCAGCAUGCCCCAUACGCCUUGGGCUACACACGUACUACAAUGCGUCGGACAAAGAGCAGCCAGCCAGCGAUGGUGAGCCAAUCUCAUAAACCGACGCUCAGUUCAGAUUGCAGGCUGCAACUCGCCUGCAUGAAGGCGGAAUCGCUAGUAAUCGCAGGUCAGCAUACUGCGGUGAAUACGUUCCCGGGCCUUGUACACACCGCCCGUCACACCAUGGGAGUUGGUCACGCCCGAAGUCGUUACUCUAACUGCUUGCAGAGGAGGACGCCGAAGGUGGGGCUGAUGACUGGGGUGAAGUCGUAACAAGGUAGCCG